GAUGAACGCUAGCGGCAGGCUUAAUACAUGCAAGUCGAGGGGCAGCGCGGGUAGCAAUACCUGGCGGCGACCGGCAAACGGGUGCGGAACACGUACGCAACCUUCCCAAAACUGGGGAAUAGCCCUCCGAAAGGAGGAUUAAUACCCCGUAACAUAACGAAGUGGCAUCACUUUGUUAUUAUAGUUCCGACGGUUUGGUAUGGGCGUGCGCCUGAUUAGGUAGUUGGCGGGGUAACGGCCCACCAAGCCUGCGAUCGGUAACUGGUCUGAGAGGACGACCAGUCACACUGGGACUGAGACACGGCCCAGACUCUUACGGGAGGCAGCAGUGGGGAAUAUUGGACAAUGGGCGAAAGCCUGAUCCAGCAAUGCCGCGUGAGUGAUGAAGGCCUUAGGGUUGUAAAGCUCUUUUACCAGGGAUGAUAAUGACAGUACCUGGAGAAUAAGCUCCGGCUAACUCCGUG
RNAcentral lists this ribosomal RNA (464 nucleotides) under uncultured bacterium. RNAcentral describes it as "bacterial SSU rRNA". It matches the Rfam family "Bacterial small subunit ribosomal RNA", at positions 28 to 507 of the family's 1533-position model. The record is from RNAcentral.